GGCGCCAUGGCUUAGUUGGAAAAGUGCCUGUCUAGUAAACAGGAGAUCCUGGGUUCAAAUCCCAGUGGUGCCU
RNAcentral lists this transfer RNA (73 nucleotides) under Petromyzon marinus (sea lamprey). RNAcentral's name for it is "tRNA-Thr (AGT) (tRNA-Thr-AGT-13-1, tRNA-Thr-AGT-13-2)". It matches the Rfam family "tRNA". Rfam says of the family: Transfer RNA (tRNA) molecules are approximately 80 nucleotides in length. The record is from RNAcentral. Lineage: Eukaryota; Metazoa; Chordata; Hyperoartia; Petromyzontiformes; Petromyzontidae.